UAGGACUGUAGUUCAGCUGGUUAGAAUACUUGCCUGUCACGCAAGUGGUCGCGGGUUCGAUUCCCGUCAGUCCUGCCAU
RNAcentral lists this transfer RNA (79 nucleotides) under Erwinia phage vB_EamM_Caitlin. Its description in RNAcentral is "tRNA-Asp". It matches the Rfam family "tRNA". Rfam says of the family: Transfer RNA (tRNA) molecules are approximately 80 nucleotides in length. Their secondary structure includes four short double-helical elements and three loops (D, anti-codon, and T loops). Lineage: Duplodnaviria; Heunggongvirae; Uroviricota; Caudoviricetes; Chimalliviridae. The record is from RNAcentral.